This is a long non-coding RNA of Mirounga angustirostris (Northern elephant seal), 1304 nucleotides long. RefSeq lists it as uncharacterized. NCBI's taxonomy places the organism in Eukaryota, Metazoa, Chordata, Mammalia, Carnivora, Phocidae. The record is from RefSeq and is a predicted model, not a curated record. The transcript has 3 exons.
AGAAAACAGGAAUUAGCAUGUGUAGUGUAAGAGCCUGAUGUUAAGCUUUUGAUUGCUGUGGCAACCAUUUCAAAGACUUCCAUCUUGAAUGAACUAUUGGCAGCUGCGUGGCAUGGCCACUGGCAAAACAACCAGAUAAGGAACAGACCACCUCAGGCGUUCAGUUCCCCUUUUACAAAACCCUCAUUAACCUACAUAACUGACCACCUGAGUGAUUCUGCGUAUUCCUUUUCAUGCCCUAAUUCCAGUUUUUAUGUUUCUAAUUUCCCCAAACAGAGUGAACCUGCAAAACCCUCCAACCCCAGGAGAGGCAGAGACCCCAGUCAGCACUCCCUCCAUCUCUCUCUGUGACUGCACUGUGUGGUCCACAGGUGUGUUGUGUACUUCCAGGACCUAGGAGUAAUAAAUCUUGUUCUUCAAAGUUCCCUGAUGGUUUUUUCCUUAGGUGCAUUUUGCAGUCAUGAUAACCUCAGGGACCCGUCUAGCCACACUGGCUUCAGUUGGGGAAAUGUCUGUGGGAGCUCGCCUGCAACACUAUGGUCCAGGUCAAAAAAUAUAAUCUAAAAACAAGAUGGAUUGUAGCAAAGGACGAUCACAAUUAACUAAAAUCAUGACCAUUUCCAGUACUCAUAAUGUCAUUCUUGAAGGCACUGAGGCUUCGUCUUACAUUUUGCCAGAGGAUCCUAAGCCUGGUGCUGUGUAUAAAAUAGGGCGCAGUGAAAUGCCUACACUUUGAAAGGAUACAUUUAGAGAUGAUAGCACAGUAAGAAAUGGAGAUACUGUGCCAGUCCAACAGGUGGAAGAAGCCAGGGGAGAAACAUGCUGGGAACCGCUGUGGCGACCACCGGGCUGCCUCUAGGACCUGAAAGUGGCUCCUGGCCAGUAACUAACAGGAACAUGAGGACCUCAGUCCUACAACCAUAAGGAAACGGCUUUUGCCAACAACCAGCAAGGACUCCAAGUUCCAGAUGAGAACUGCAGACAGGGCUGGCACCUUGUUUCAGCCUGGUGAGACUCUGAGCGGAGAAUGUAGUCACUCCAUGCCAAGACGUUGACCUACAGAAACUGAGAUAAACUUGAGAUUUUAGAAGCCACUAAGCUUCUGAUACUUUGUAAUGCAGCCAUCAAAAACGAAAACAGGCCAUGUUGUACCUUUGCUUUGUCUUGGAGAAAUGAGCUAACUCAUACAAGGGUUUUUCUCAGAUACAUAAAAUGUAUUCCUUGAAGUGCAAACACUUGAUGGAUAUAUAUUAUCCAUUUAUCUGCCUUAUUAAAUAGUACUUAGUACACUGCCUAAUAUUUAA